Molecule: transfer-messenger RNA, 405 nt
Filed under: Candidatus Omnitrophota
Lineage: Bacteria; Pseudomonadati
Also listed under: 2 other names
Description: DTHP01 sp023818555 Standard tmRNA
Rfam family: transfer-messenger RNA
About the family: Bacterial tmRNA, also known as 10Sa RNA or SsrA, is named for its dual tRNA and mRNA-like properties. Its role is to liberate the mRNA from a stalled ribosome. To accomplish this part of the tmRNA is used as a reading frame that ends in a translation stop signal.
Source: RNAcentral
GGGGGUGAAAGGUCUCGACUUAGGUUGUUUCGCUAAAAGAUGCAAGCCGAGGUGGCAAGGAGGCCUCGUCCCGAAGGGAUUCCGGUGCAGGACUCUAAGUUCUGCAUUCGGGAUAAAACACCUUGCAAAUCUAUAGCUGCCGACUACAGUCCGGUAGCCGAAGUCCUUCCUGCCUAAUUACCAGGAAGGCCUCCUCUGAGAUUUGUCUGUUGGUCUGAGAGGAGAAAAUUAGACAGACUGCGCCUGCUCAGUUAGCUCUUGCAGGCAGGCAAAGACUGAAAGAGCUGGCGAGGCUUAAUCCUGUCUAUCGGAGUAAACCUCGUGAGAAAAAAAGAUAGACUAAGCUUGUAGUAUCUUUUAGUGAAAAACUUAAGGACGCGGGUUCGAUUCCCGCCACCUCCAUUU